Molecule: ribosomal RNA, 479 nt
Filed under: Batrachoseps bramei (Fairview slender salamander)
Lineage: Eukaryota; Metazoa; Chordata; Amphibia; Caudata; Plethodontidae
Description: partial 16S ribosomal RNA
Rfam family: Bacterial large subunit ribosomal RNA
Source: RNAcentral
ACUGCCUGCCCAGUGACACCUGUUCAACGGCCGCGGUAUUAUGACCGUGCAAAGGUAGCGUAAUCACUUGUCUUUUAAAUAAAGACCGGUAUGAAUGGCAAAACGAAAACUCAACUGUCUCCUCAGAUAAGUCAGUGAAAUUGAUUUUCCCGUGAAGAAGCAGGGAUAAUAAUAUAAGACGAGAAGACCCUAUGGAGCUUUAAACCAAAGCUACCCAUACUCUUAAAACUUUAAAAAGUGGCGUUAGCUACAGGUUUUGGGUUGGGGCGACCGCGGAGUAAAAAUUAACCUCCGAGAAAGAAUUAAGAAGAACCCUUCAAAAAAUAAUAAUAUUAACACAUUUGACCCAACAAUUGAUCAACGAACCAAGUUACCCUAGGGAUAACAGCGCAAUCCUCUCAUAGAGUCCUUAUCGACGAGUGGGUUUACGACCUCGAUGUUGGAUCAGGACCCCCAAAUGGUGCAAAAGCUAUUAAAGG